CCUACGGGGGGCAGCAGUGAGGAAUAUUGGUCAAUGGACGCAAGUCUGAACCAGCCAUGCCGCGUGAGUGAAGAAGUAUCUCGGUAUGUAAAGCUCUAUCAGCAGGGAAGAAAAUGACGGUACCUGACUAAGAAGCCCCGGCUAACUACGUGCCAGCAGCCGCGGUAAUACGUAGGGGGCAAGCGUUAUCCGGAUUUACUGGGUGUAAAGGGAGCGUAGACGGUGUGGCAAGUCUGAAGUGAAAGCCCGGGGCUCAACCCCGGGACUGCUUUGGAAACUGUCAUGCUGGAGUGCUGGAGAGGUAAGCGGAAUUCCUAGUGUAGCGGUGAAAUGCGUAGAUAUUAGGAGGAACACCAGUGGCGAAGGCGGCUUACUGGACAGUAACUGACGUUGAGGCUCGAAAGCGUGGGGAGCAAACAGGAUUAGAUACCCUGGUAGUC
This 440-nucleotide ribosomal RNA is filed under the name uncultured bacterium. RNAcentral's name for it is "partial 16S ribosomal RNA". It matches the Rfam family "Bacterial small subunit ribosomal RNA", at positions 338 to 795 of the family's 1533-position model. The record is from RNAcentral.